UACGGGCGGUCCCUAGGUUCUCUGAAUUUUUCUUCGAGGAUUAAAACACGCUUCAAGUACCUAGAAAUAUCCUAAAAAAUCCAAAAUCUAUGUUAGGAAACCUUUUUUGCCAAUUUCAGAAUUUCGGCACGGCAGCUCUGCCAUGCUCCGACGAUGUUUGCCUUGGGUCGGCUGUUUUCGGCCAAUUUUGUACCAAUCCCUAUGAUAAAACACGUUAAGGGGCCUCGAUUGACCGAAAAAAGUCAAAAACUCAAAACUUACUGGCAGCGGGGUUCUCCGGUGCGGCGGCUCCACCAGCUCAUCUUCGCGGUUGGGUGUUUUGCUUCAGUUAACUUAU
Molecule: long non-coding RNA, 337 nt
Filed under: Carica papaya (papaya)
Lineage: Eukaryota; Viridiplantae; Streptophyta; Magnoliopsida; Brassicales; Caricaceae
Description: long non-coding RNA (CPAP_LNC006985)
Source: RNAcentral